UGCCAUAUCUUCGUCUAGGUUUAUUAAAGGUUUUUAAUGAUUUCAUUGGUUUUGGUGGACCACUGCUUCUGAAUAAGCUAAUUCGGUUUCUUCAAAAAGGUUCUGGAAAUUUGGAUGGCUAUGUUCUUGCAAUAUCGUUAGGCCUAGUAUCAGUUCUCAAGUGAGCUUUU
Hibiscus syriacus is the source of this 170-nucleotide long non-coding RNA. RefSeq lists it as uncharacterized. The transcript is spliced from 3 exons. Lineage: Eukaryota; Viridiplantae; Streptophyta; Magnoliopsida; Malvales; Malvaceae. The record is from RefSeq and is a predicted model, not a curated record.